RNAcentral lists this microRNA precursor (61 nucleotides) under Octopus vulgaris (common octopus). RNAcentral's name for it is "Ovu-Mir-12587_pre stem-loop". The record is from RNAcentral. RNAcentral also lists the same sequence under 1 other name. Lineage: Eukaryota; Metazoa; Mollusca; Cephalopoda; Octopoda; Octopodidae.
AAUUUGGUGUUUGUGUCAACCUGGUAAUAAUUGAAAUAGGCUGACGCUAGUACCAAGUUCC